This 426-nucleotide ribosomal RNA is filed under the name uncultured bacterium. Its description in RNAcentral is "bacterial SSU rRNA". It matches the Rfam family "Bacterial small subunit ribosomal RNA", at positions 355 to 774 of the family's 1533-position model. The record is from RNAcentral.
UCGAGAAUUUUUCUCAAUGUGGGAAACCCUGAAGGAGCGACGCCGCGUGGAGGAUGAAGGUCUUCGGAUUGUAAACUCCUGUCAUUGGUGAACAAAGCCACGGGUUAACUGCCUAGUGGUCUGCUAGUAGCCGAAGAGGAAGGGACGGCUAACUCUGUGCCAGCAGCCGCGGUAAUACAGAGGUCCCGAGCGUUGUUCGGAUUUAUUGGGCGUAAAGGGUGCGUAGGUGGCAAAGUAAGUUGGAUGUGAAAUCCUGGGGCUUAACCUCAGAAUUGCAUUCAAUACUGCUUAGCUAGAGAGCUGUAGAGGAGACUGGAAUUUACGGUGUAGCAGUGAAAUGCGUAGAUAUCGUAAGGAACGCCAGUGGCGAAAGCGAGUCUCUGGGCAGCAUCUGACACUGAGGCACGAAGGCCAGGGGAGCAAACG